This 1109-nucleotide long non-coding RNA is filed under the name Calidris pygmaea (Spoon-billed sandpiper). RNAcentral describes it as "lncRNA (ENSCPGG00000010317.1)". Lineage: Eukaryota; Metazoa; Chordata; Aves; Charadriiformes; Scolopacidae. The record is from RNAcentral.
GAAUUUUGUUGGUCAACAAGCCGCCGUCAGCGCCGUCGGGCAGCGUGUUUCCAUAGCUAUCCGCGGAGAGGGGCAUCUUCAGGUGGUGUGACGCCGAAUCUCCUUUUUAAAGGACUCAGCCUAAAUGUACUCCCAGAUUAUCCCAGCGAAGGCUAAGAGGCCACGGAAAACAAGGAGCAAGUUCUGUUUAGAGCUUCUGGUCCCCGUCUGCACCAUUGUCAUCAGAAACCAGGGAGCAUUUGUCUGGUCCUCCCUUGGAUUGCAACAUAUUUCUGUUUUCUUACCAUAUAGACUCAUCCCAGUUUGUUUCUAAGCGAAUUGCUUUUUUGUUCAUGUUGCAUAUUCCCUAAACAGUCGUAUUAGUGGUGACAGCAUGUCAUCUUGAUGGUGUUAUGACAGUAUGACGCCAAACUAGUAUUAACAUAACAUUUCUUUUUAAAUCUUGUCUGAAAACAUAUUGUUCUCCCUUGCCAGCACUUCUCUGUUUCUCUCACCCUUUACCAUGGGUUCUGGGUUGCCUUUUUUGUUUCAUCUCAGUUGUUUCAAGCGGGCUGAUACGCAGCAGAUACAGAGGCAUUUUCCUGAUAAUUCGGGUGAUGAGAUGAAGGGAGAGAAGAAUGAACCUGUUUGCCCAAGGCUGUGCAGAAGCUUUUGCUGGGGGAAAGCCCCAAGCCCACAUUUCCCUGGAUAGCAUCCUCCUUCCUCUUAUGCUUCGCCUUGCUCAGAUUUAUUGAGUUUAGAUUUUUGAAGUUUAGGCUUCAAGAUCCCCAUCACUACCACGGAAUUAUUUCUAUUUUUUCUACAUUUUCUUCUACAGCCUCAAUUAAAAGGUGGACUCUGAUGUCCCCCAAAUGGUGAAGUCAGUCUUAAAUUCCAGAAAGCUCGUGAAGAGAGGAGAGCUGUAAGUCGGGGGGACGAGGAGCCCUCUGUGUGCACGGGCGGGAUGAGCAGAUGCUCUUACUUCUUUGAAUGUCCUGCUUUUCUGAUGUGAGGUCUGAGGGAUGCUCGCUCAGAGAUUGAGCUGGUUUGGUUGGGAAAUCAAAAUUGUCUGCUAGAUGGCAGGCAUUUUUUAGAAGGAAAAUAAAAUAGAGAAAUAGAGUUGGGUUUUU